This 253-nucleotide ribosomal RNA is filed under the name uncultured bacterium. RNAcentral's name for it is "partial 16S ribosomal RNA". It matches the Rfam family "Bacterial small subunit ribosomal RNA", at positions 524 to 776 of the family's 1533-position model. The record is from RNAcentral.
UACGUAGGAGGCAAGCGUUGUCCGGAUUUAUUGGGCGUAAAGAGCGUGUAGGCGGUUUGGUAGGUCCGCUGUGAAAACUCGAGGCUCAACCUCGAGACGCCGGUGGAAACCAUCAGACUAGAGUCCGGAAGAGGAGAGUGGAAUUCCUGGUGUAGCGGUGAAAUGCGCAGAUAUCAGGAAGAACACCCGUGGCUAAGGCGGCUCUCUAGUACGGUACUGACGCUGAGACGCGAAAGCGUGGGGAGCGAACAGG